AACUGGCAGAUCCCUAAGGAGCUGCAGGAUCCCCAUUGAUCUGCAAGGAGCCAGGACAAUCUGCACAGAGGGUUCUGCAAUAGGUGCCCUACCGGGAAGGGGAUGGGACAAGGAAGGGCAUUUGCCUUGUGCUGACUAGGAAAAGGGGCUGAAUUUCGGUCAGGCUCAGCAAUCCCUGCGCUGAGUGAACACAAGGCCUUGGUGGAGCAAAUGUAGCAGCAGGAGCCCAAGGCAACUUUCCAGGUCCAGGGAUCACCUGAGCAGUGUAGCCUACUAUAAAGAGUGCUUCCGGAGUCAGGUUCUUAUCUACAAUUACAGAAGCCUCCUAAAUCCAGCCCGUCUCCAUCCGGCGUUUACACUGCUCUCCAGCUGUGAGUUCCAUGGCCAGCGUGAGGUGCUUUAGGGAAAGCCUGCUGUUUGCCGUGCUGCUCCUCGCUGGAAACACGCAAAGAG
Mauremys mutica (yellowpond turtle) is the source of this 453-nucleotide long non-coding RNA. RefSeq lists it as uncharacterized. Lineage: Eukaryota; Metazoa; Chordata; Testudines; Geoemydidae. The record is from RefSeq and is a predicted model, not a curated record. The transcript is spliced from 3 exons.